Molecule: ribosomal RNA, 468 nt
Filed under: uncultured bacterium
Lineage: Bacteria
Description: partial 16S ribosomal RNA
Rfam family: Bacterial small subunit ribosomal RNA
Source: RNAcentral
GACGAACGCUGGCGGCGUGCUUAACACAUGCAAGUCGAACGGACAGGCCCUGCUUUUGUGGGGUGCUCGAGUGGCGAACGGGUGAGUAACACGUGAGUAACCUGCCCUUGACUUUGGGAUAACUUCAGGAAACUGGGGCUAAUACCGGAUAGGAGCUCCUGCUGCAUGGUGGGGGUUGGAAAGUUUCGGCGGUUGGGGAUGGACUCGCGGCUUAUCAGCUUGUUGGUGGGGUAGUGGCUUACCAAGGGUUUGACGGGUAGCCGGCCUGAGAGGGUGACCGGCCACAUUGGGACUGAGAUACGGCCCAGACGCCAACGGGAGGCAGCAGUGGGGAACAUUGCACAAUGGGCGGAAGCCUGAUGCAGCAACGCCGCGUGCGGGAUGACGGCCUUCGGGUUGUAAACCGCUGUCGCCUGUGACGAAGCGUGAGUGACGGUAAUGGGUAAAGAAGCACCGGCUAACUACGUG